CUACGGGAGGCAGCAGUGGGGAAUUUUGGACAAUGGGGGCAACCCUGAUCCAGCCAUGCCGCGUGCGGGAAGAAGGCCUUCGGGUUGUAAACCGCUUUUAGUCGGGAAGAAAAGGCCUGGGCGAAUACCCUGGGUUUUUGACGGUACCGGCGGAAUAAGCACCGGCUAACUACGUGCCAGCAGCCGCGGUAAUACGUAGGGUGCGAGCGUUAAUCGGAAUUACUGGGCGUAAAGCGUGCGCAGGCGGUUCGCUGUGUCCGAUGUGAAAGCCCCGGGCUUAACCUGGGAAUGGCAUUGGAAACUGGCGGGCUUGAGUGUGGCAGAGGGGGGUGGAAUUCCGCGUGUAGCAGUGAAAUGCGUAGAGAUGCGGAGGAACACCGAUGGCGAAGGCAGCCCCCUGGGCUAACACUGACGCUCAGGCACGAAAGCGUGGGGAGCAAACAGGAUUAGAUACCCCAGUAGUC
Molecule: ribosomal RNA, 464 nt
Filed under: uncultured bacterium
Lineage: Bacteria
Description: bacterial SSU rRNA
Rfam family: Bacterial small subunit ribosomal RNA
Source: RNAcentral